UUCGGGCCUGAGUCUAUGGCGCACGGGUGAGUAACACGUGAAUCAUCUACCUUCGAGUGGGGAAUAACUGAGAGAAAUCUUAGCUAAUACCGCAUAAUACCUACGGGUCAAAGCAGCAAUGCGCUUGAAGAGGAGUUCGCGGCAGAUUAGUUAGUUGGCGGGGUAAUGGCCCACCAAGACGAUGAUCUGUAUCCGGCCUGAGAGGGCGCACGGACACACUGGAACUGAAACACGGUCCAGACUCCUACGGGAGGCAGCAGUGGGGAAUUUUGCGCAAUGGGGGAAACCCUGACGCAGCAACGCCGCGUGGAGGAUGAAAUCCCUUGGGAUGUAAACUCCUUUCGAUAGGGAAGAUAAUGACGGUACCUAUAGAAGAAGCCCCGGCUAACUUCGUGCCAGCAGCCGCGGUAAUACGAGGGGGGCAAGCGUUGUUCGGAAUUAUUGGGCGUAAAGGGUGCGUAGGCGGUUUGACAAGUCUUAUGUGAAAUCUAUGGGCUCAACCCAUAGUCUGCAUGGGAAACUGUCGGGCUUGAGUAUGGGAGAGGUGAGUGGAAUUUCCGGUGUAGCGGUGAAAUGCGUAGAUAUCGGAAGGAACACCUGUGGCGAAAGCGGCUCACUGGACCAUAACUGACGCUGAUGCACGAAAGCUAGGGGAGCAAACAGGAUUAGAUACCCUGGUAGUCCUAGCCCUAAACGAUGAUGGUUUGAUGUGGGGGGGUACCCANUCCUCCCGUGUCGAAGCUAACGCGAUAACCAUCCGCCUGGGGAGUACGGUCGCAAGGCUGAAACUCAAAGGAUUUGACGGGGGCCCGCACAAGCGGUGGAGCAUGUGGGUUUUAAUUCGACGCACCGCGAAA
RNAcentral lists this ribosomal RNA (857 nucleotides) under uncultured soil bacterium. RNAcentral describes it as "bacterial SSU rRNA". It matches the Rfam family "Bacterial small subunit ribosomal RNA", at positions 80 to 966 of the family's 1533-position model. The record is from RNAcentral.